GACGAACGCUGGCGGCGUGCUUAACACAUGCAAGUCGAACGGAAAGGCCCUGCUUUUGUGGGGUGCUCGAGUGGCGAACGGGUGAGUAACACGUGAGUAACCUGCCCUUGACUUUGGGAUAACUUCAGGAAACUGGGGCUAAUACCGGAUAGGAGCUCCUGCUGCAUGGUGGGGGUUGGAAAGUUUCGGCGGUUGGGGAUGGACUCGCGGCUUAUCAGCUUGUUGGUGGGGUAGUGGCUUACCAAGGCUUUGACGGGUAGCCGGCCUGAGAGGGUGACCGGCCACAUUGGGACUGGGGUACGGCCCAGGCUCCUACGGGAGGCAGCAGUGGGGAAUAUUGCGCAAUGGGCGGAAGCCUGAUGCGGCGACGCCGCGUGCGGGAUGACGGCCUUCGGGUUGUAAACCACUUUCGCCUGUGACGAAGCGUGCGUGACGGUAAUGGGUAAGGAAGCACCGGCUAACUACGUG
Molecule: ribosomal RNA, 468 nt
Filed under: uncultured bacterium
Lineage: Bacteria
Description: partial 16S ribosomal RNA
Rfam family: Bacterial small subunit ribosomal RNA
Source: RNAcentral